AAAGGGCCCCCCCCAGGGGGGCCUGCGGCUUUUUUUUUUUCCUCACGGCGAAAAUAACCCCCGCCGGCCACCCCAAGGAGUGACAGACUGAAAGCUCCUUCUUAUUUCGGGGGGUGGGGGUGCAUGGGGGUUUUUUUUUUGGGGAGAAGUUUUUCUGUGGAUUUCCUAUAAAAAGAGAGACACAGUCCUUUAAAAUAAACAGAGUAUUAUAAAAAAAAAAACCUCGCUUCUUAGGGGGAGGGCCGCGCCGCCUCCCCGCAAAAAAAAAAAAAAACAAUUGUGAGACCAUAAGAGGCGGGGGUGGCCUGGCGCUGUAUUUGAAGGAGGAAGAGCCGCCGACUCGGGCGGAGAGAACGACGCCCAACCUUUUUUUGGGGGUGAUAGGGAAAUUAAUUUUUCCCUUUUCAACAAAGAAUCAGUUCUGUGGGGGAGGAUCGCGUUGAUUACUUCCCCUCCCCUCCGUCCGCCCCGCCCGCCGCUCCUACCGGUUUGUAUGAUUAAUUAAUUAAAUAAGAACAA
RNAcentral lists this ribosomal RNA (519 nucleotides) under uncultured eukaryote. Its description in RNAcentral is "partial 18S ribosomal RNA". The record is from RNAcentral.